AUUUGACAAGAAUGCACCUAGUCCUCCAAUCACCCGAACUCCAGCCAUCACAUUGUUUUAAAGAAAUCAAAAUAGCAAACAAUGCCUUGUAAACAUAUAAACAGCUGAGUUAAUGUAAUUAUAUUAAUCAAUGCCACAAACCUGGGACAUAGUAAACCGUUCAUAUGGUGCUCUUCUACCAGAGAGCACACAGAUUCUUCUGCUUUUCUAUUUUAGAAAUUAGAGCAGCAAAAAUAAAAAAUGUAAAACAGCAGUGAUUUUUGGUGGGUGAGUUACAAACGGAGAACCAACUGAAUGCAUAAGGCAGGUUUAAUAUAAAUACUAGGUCAACUCCAGCAGAAUGAGAAACACACUCAAAACAAGGAAGACAUGCCGAAACGCAACUAUAUCAACAGCUUUCUUGUCAAUUUAACAAGUCAAUGUUGCUGCUAUCAAUUGUGAGCAGCACAUUUACCACUGUAUUCAAUCUGAACCUCGGAAUAAGCAGGAAGACAGCAUCACCAGAGUAAAAAAAAAAGCUGGCAAAAACAGUACACAACAACACUUUUAAACGUGUCACAGUCUAGAGGUUAUCAAAUCAGGAGGAGUGAAGGAAGCAGCAUAGGGAAAAUGGAUGAAGGUAGAUGAGAUGGAGAGUUCCAAAGUGUCCAAAGUUGAGGGACCAUGGGGCAUAAAAGGCAGUGUGGAAUAAGGGGUUGCUAGAGGGAUGGUUGGCCAUGGAAUAAACAUAAAAUUGGGUGCUGGUGUGCUUCUGCAUCCCUUAUAGGUUGUCGUCACAAAUAUCCAGCCAGGUCCAGUUACACAUGGGGUCUCAGCGGGUCCCUCGACAUCAUUCUGUCUCAGUUGCAGAUUUCAAAUCGUGGUCAAUUUGUGUCUGUGAAUCACAAUUAAAGACAAUGAGUGAUCACAGCAUUUCCACCAAUUGAGCCAUACACAAUACAAUUUAAGCAUUGAGGACAACACUGUUGACAACAUGGUUUAUACUAUGUCUACUGUGUGUGAAUGAUGGAAGAAUCUUAUCCCAGCUGUAGGUCCAUUUGAGUGUGUGGUCACUUAGGCCUGCACAUCAACCAGUACUGGGACCUUUGGAGACUUGGGAUGCUUGUUCUCAAAGUGCUGCUUGAAUGUCUUCAGGUCUGCGUCUAUAAAAACGUGAAAGACAAAAUGGAGGAAGUUAAUCUGUGGUUUAGAUUGAAUUCAAAGUAGACACAAAUGAUAAACUAAGCAAUGUGAUGCCACACUAAUACACAGAUGAAAGACUGUACCACAGGACAGUACAACAGCCUACACAUGGAGAGGAACGUAAAGGCACAUACAGUACCAAACAAUACUACUUUCCCAAUAGACAGGGCAGGUGUGGACCAGUGCUGCCUUGACUGUAGUCUUCUGGUCCACAGCUGCUACCUUCUUCUUAGCAGCCGCCGCGUUGGCAUUAGUCAACAAGUUGACUUGAGAGUGGAGUAUGCGUUAUAUUUUAUUUUUUUAUUUCACCUUUAUUUAACCAGGUAGGCUAGUUGAGAACAAGUUCUCAUUUGCAACUGCGACCUGGCCAAGAUAAAGCAUAGCAGUGUGAGCAGACAGAGUUACACAUGGAAUAAACAAUUAACAAGUCAAUAACACAGUAGAAAACAAAGGGGGGAGUCUAUAUACAAUGUGUGCAAAAGGCAUGAGGAGGUAGGCGAAUAAUUACAAUUUUGCAGAUUAACACUGGAGUGAUAGAUGAUCAGAUGGUCAUGUACAGGUAGAGAUAUUGGUGUGCAAAAGAGCAGAAAAGUAAAUAAAAACAGUAUGGGGAUGAGGUAGGUGAAAAUGGGUGGGCUAUUUACCAAUAGACUAUGUACAGCAGCAGCGAUCGGUUAGCUGCUCAGAUAGCAGAUGUUUGAAGUUGGUGAGGGAGAUAAGUCUCCAACUUCAGUGAUUUUUGCAAUUCGUUCCAGUCACAGGCAGCAGAGUACUGGAACGAAAGGCGGCCAAAUGAGGUGUUGGCUUUAGGGAUGAUCAGUGAGAUACACCUGCUGGAGCGCGUGCUACGGAUGGGUGUUGCCAUCGUGACCAGUGAACUGAGAUAAGGCAGAGCUUUACCUAGCAUGGACUUGUAGAUGACCUGGAGCCAGUGGGUCUGGCGACGAAUAUGUAACGAGGGCCAGCCGACUAGAGCAUACAGGUCGCAGUGGUGGGUGGUAUAAGGUGCUUUAGUGACAAAACGGAUGGCACUGUGAUAGACUGCAUCCAGUUUGCUGAGUAGAGUGUUGGAAGCCAUUUUGUAGGAUGACAUCGCCGAAGUCGAGGAUCGGUAGGAUAGUCAGUUUUACUAGGGUAAGCUUGGCGGCGUGAGUGAAGGAGGCUUUGUUGCGGAAUAGAAAGCAGACUCUUGAUUUGAUUUUCGAUUGGAGAUGUUUGAUAUGAGUCUGGAAGGAGAGUUUGCAGUCUAGCCAGACACCUAGGUACUUAUAGAUGUCCACAUAUUCAAGGUCGGAACAGGCAGUGCAGGCAGCGAUCGGUUGAAAAGCAUGCAUUUGGUUUUACUAGCGUUUAAGAGCAGUUGGAGGCCACGGAAGGAGUGUUGUAUGGCAUUGAAGCUUGUUUGGAGGUUAGAUAGCACAGUGUCCAAUGACGGGCCGAAAGUAUAUAGAAUGGUGUCGUCUGCGUAGAGGUGGAUCAGGGAAUCGCCCGCAGCAAGAGCAACAUCAUUGAUAUAUAUAUAAAUACCGGGAAAUUGAACCCCCCUCCCCGAUUGUACCCGUACUGAAUAAUGACUUAAGUGGGUGUAUAAGUUUUUGUUCCAGCCCAGCUCAUGCCUGAUUACAAAUCAUAGCCUAUCGCUGUGAUUCGUCAUGUUGAUCAUUUAAGUCAGGUGUUAGGGCUGGGCUGGAACAAAAACCUUCACACACACUCCUGCUCUUCAGGACUUGCUGCAAUGACUGAAACAGACCAAAGCAGGUCGAAACAGCUUGCCUAGUUGAGAGGUGAUAAGACCUAUUGAGUCUGGAAUACAGAAGGUGCAAAUAAGGUUAAUAAUUAUACUUAGGGGCCUCCAGAGUGGAGCAGCGGUCUAACAGUGCUAGAGGCAUCACUACAGAUCCAUGUUCGAUCCCGAGCUGUGUCGCAGCCGGCUGUGACAGGGAGACCGAUGAGGCAGCGCACAAUUGGCCCAGCAUCGUCCGGGUUAGAAGAUGGUUUGGCCGGUUGGGAUGUCCUUGUUCCAUCUUGCUCUAGCGACUCCUUGUGGCGGCCGGGAGCAGUGCACGCUGACUUUGGUUGCCAGCUGUACGGUGUUUCAGACACAUUGGUGCGGCUGGCUUCCAAGUUACGCGGGUAGUGUGUCAAGAAGUAGUGCAGUUUAGCGGGAUCGUGUUUCGAGGAUGCAUGGCUCUCAACCUUCGCCUCUCCCGAGUCCGUACGGGAGUUGCAGCGAUGGGACAAGACUUUAACUACCAAUUGGAUAUUACGAAAUUGGGGAGAAAAAGGGGUAAAAAAGUAUAUACACACACACACUUGAAAAAAAACGAGUCAUUUAAAACCCACCAUAGUUGGUAGGACUAAAUAAAGUUACAUAACCUUCCCUACUAGCUAUACUAAUGAUAUGCUGUCUAGAGGGGAAACAGGUCAAUGUUUCCUCACAGUAAAGUACAUACACUUGCUAAUGAUUAGGAUGCUAAUCAGUCCAUCUCUGAAACCUCUAAAAAGCCAGACCAAAAUAAUACUGCUAGCCUAGGAUAGCUGCAAGUCAAGUAUUACCCACAGACACAAACAUGAGCUAGAAUGUUAUAUGGUGAAACUAAGUUAGCUAGCUAGUUCAGUAGCAAGCUAAACUGUUGGUUUAUGAAAGCUUAACUAGUUAUGAACUUCAUGCAUUUAUCAGGUGUUCAUUUUUUACUUGCCCAAUACAGUUCAGACUUCUUCAUUUAAACAAAUUACCAUAUUUAGCUAACAUUGGAUAGAAUCUCAGGAUAAACUUACUUUUGCCCCGAUUCAUCAGUCUCGUCCAGAUCAUCAUGGCCAUGGUAAAUGACGUGAAGCUUGAGAAGGGCAUUUGUAGUUCUGUAUGAUAGCCACAUAAGCCGCUAAUUAGCAUUUCCUUUUUGGGAGGGGUAAAUACAAUGUGACGUUUAUCAAUAUAUAGAGCAUUCUGACAUCAGCCUCUGAUGCUGCUAUUGAAUCUGAGCAGCCUGUCAGGAAUAGAGCGCACCCACUCAUGAUCAUCUACAUGAUGCACUGACUGCUAAUCUGCCUGCAAGGAGCUUUGCUUAUGAAACAGCCUACAAGGCAGAAUCCUAACAUAUCAACCUCAGAGGCUGCUAUUGAAUCUGAUCAGCCUGUCAGGAACUCUGUACAUUUUUAUAUUAUCCAUAAAACAUGAAGUGUCCCUUGCAAUUAUACACAUAUCAGUUAUGCAAACUAACAACCAGCAAAGACAGCUAGCUAGCUAGCUAGCUAGCUAGCUAGCUAGCUAGCUAGCUAGCUAGCAAGCAAGAGUACCUACCUAGCCAGCCAAGUUAGCUGCGUUGUUGCUUGCAUGUGAUUGGCUGUAGUCCUGGGGGUGGCAUACAGCCUGAGAGAUCAAGUUUGUCAGGCAUCAUUCAGGGCUUAAAUCCCCCACAAACUCUUAGCGCUAGGUAAUGGACAUUUAGCUGGCUAACAUUCUAAUUUAUAAACUGAUAAUGAGCUUCAAACAUAAAUGAAAGCAUGAAAUGUACCAUCCAUCAGUGUGGCAAUCAAUAAAAACGUAUGAGCUGAUCCACCGUGAGCUCUGCCGCCUCAACCAUACUGUCAAUCUCUUUAGUAAGUACAUUCCUAUUUGUAUAGUUGACCUAGACAAAAACAACUUUGUUUUAUUUUAACCUUUAUUUACCUAGGCAAGUCAGUUAAGAACAAAUUCUUAUUUACAAUGAAGGCCUACCCUGGCCAAACCCUAACGAUGCUGGGCCAAUUGUGCACCACCCUAUGAUACAGCCUGGAAUCGAACCAGUGACACCGAUGCAGUGCCUUAGACCGCUGCGCCACUUGGGAGCCCUAAAUGUCAUGACCAUGAGACAAUCAUCUCAUGGUCAACAAAACAACUUUUGUUAUGUAGUGACCAUGAGAUAAAUAAAUUGUGCUUGACAUAACAAGGGAAUACAUUUUUCUUCCAUAUGCCCUCUGGACUUUCGUAGGUUUGAGGUGGAUUAUCCCAUUUAAUUGCAAACAGACGACUCCCUUCUAACCUGCCACAAGCCUCAGUAGCAGAUAGCGCUGACUUUGCUGAUAGCUAUUCGGAGGAAAAGUGUAUUUACUAUGCCUGUGAUGUGGUUGUCCCACUUAGCUGUUUUAAGAUGAAUGCACGAACUAAGUCGCUCUGGAUAAGAGCGUCUGCUAAAUUACUAAAAUGUAAAUGUUAAAAUGUAACCGAGUGAAAUGUGCUGUUCUCAUUAGAACACAAAAUGUACUCCACAUGACAUUAGUCAACAUGUAGCAAGCAUAACACCUUUAUCAAACAUAUCCUUUGGGACAGAACAAAUAUCUAUCAAUCAUUUACAUGCCCUAUUUUAGGAAAGGUAAUGUACACAAAACACACUGAGAAUAACAUGUAUGGUGAGAGGUUGUCCCCCAGGCUGAAAUUUCCCAGCAGUGGAAACACUUCAUUCUGUCAAGUUCAGCAAAGCACAGAGCCGAGAGAAAACUCCCCUGACAAAGGAAAGAGAUACGUAAUAAACCAGAGCUGGCAUGAAGCUACAAGCUAUUAGUCACUCUUUAUUUUUACAUUUUAGUAAUUUAUCACACUCUUAUCCAGAGCAAUUUACAGGAGCAAUUAGGGUUGCGCAAGAGGACAUAAUAUUUUUUCACAGAGUCAGCUCAGGGAUUAGAUCCAGCGACAUUUAGGUUAUUGAGCCAAUUCUUAACUGCUAGGCUACCUGCCGUGGAUAUGUCCAAAACCAGGAAUCCUGCUGUACUUGUGCCUCUCGCUGUAUGAUUAUGUAAGCCCCUCCUCCUCAUACUUCAUUACCUCUUUUAGCCUCUCCACCUCCUGCAUCAGAGAGCUGACCAUGUCCUCCAACUUCCUAUUGGCUUCUCUCUCUUGCUCCAACUCCUACAAAUACAGAAAGACACAUCCAUUUAUGAUUCAAUGCAGCUGAGGGUUGUGAAUUGUUUUAGAGCAGUGAUUCUUCAACAGUAGGAGAACCACAAUUGGGUCACA
This is a long non-coding RNA of Oncorhynchus tshawytscha (Chinook salmon), 6175 nucleotides long. Lineage: Eukaryota; Metazoa; Chordata; Actinopteri; Salmoniformes; Salmonidae. The record is from Ensembl.